GGAAGGAGGAGCGCUUAUGAGCGAAGCGAAUAACUCAAAUGCGCUCCGACGACCUGCCACGCUCGUGGAGGCGAGAGGGGCGAUACAUUGU
Molecule: non-coding RNA, 91 nt
Organism: Coprococcus eutactus CAG:665
Lineage: Bacteria; Bacillati; Bacillota; Clostridia; Lachnospirales; Lachnospiraceae
Source: Rfam